ACUCCUGUAGGCACUGGUACUCAGAGGAGCUGUCUGUCAGGUCAGCCAAUGAUAGUGGUCCUCUCUGCACUACAGCUGCAGGGUACACUUUCUCCUGGAUGGCACCCUCAGGCCAGCAUCUUUCCAGAAAGUGUUCUUGAAUAUAGUAUAUAUGUAAAAUUAACAGUGUGUAUUUAAAACUUGACAAGCUAAGGUAGAGAUGCUAGGGGAUAAAAGAGCACUCACUCAGUUUCUGGUAAUCCUCUUGCUCUUCAGAUAGAGUAGUAAAGUAUUAGUAGUAAUAAUAGUAGAGUUACUACUAUUUUUAUUUAUUUUCCCAUAUGUGUACAUUUUUUUCCUAACAUAGUCCAUAAAUAUUUAUAUCCUGUGUUUUUCUUUUUAUCCAAAUAUCUGUUUAUUAUGGUGGCAAAUAUUUGAUUAAAGUUUAAAAUGAACUUUUAUUUAUUUUUAUAUAGAGAAUGAAGACCUUUCGAAUCCGUCAAAACCUAUACAGAAUCAAACAUUUUCCACCCCAGCAAGUCAACUCUUUUCUCCUCAUGGUUCUAAUCCUUCAACACCUGCUGCAACUCCUGUU
This 574-nucleotide long non-coding RNA is filed under the name Homo sapiens (human). Its description in RNAcentral is "non-protein coding lnc-STOML3-5:3". Lineage: Eukaryota; Metazoa; Chordata; Mammalia; Primates; Hominidae. The record is from RNAcentral.